This 311-nucleotide long non-coding RNA is filed under the name Brachypodium distachyon (stiff brome). RNAcentral's name for it is "long non-coding RNA (BDIS_LNC005151)". Lineage: Eukaryota; Viridiplantae; Streptophyta; Magnoliopsida; Poales; Poaceae. The record is from RNAcentral.
GAUCAGCGAUCGGUAAUUCCGGUUAGCAGCAAUGCGACAGAGAAGGGAGAAUUUCAUAUUAUUUUGUUUUGUUUUGUUUUUGUUACUGUGAAAAGACUACAAUGUCCUUCCCUAAUACUCCAUGUAGCCGCUUCGUUUCCGCCCCUAAUUACACUAAUUAAUUACAGGCCGCGGAGGGAGACAACACCAUGAUGCAUGGAGCUAGGGAGCAUGAAGGCCAAGAAUUAGCAGUAACGCAACCCCAUUUGAUCCAUAAACGGGAUUCCUUUGGUUUUAAGCUAACCUUAAGCCAGGCGGGCCUCGUGCCUUUA